UAAUACGUAGGAGGCUAGCGUUAUCCGGAUUUACUGGGCGUAAAGAGGGCGUAGGCGGCUUUUCAAGUCGGAUGUAAAAUCUCCCGGCUUAACUGGGAGGGAUAAUCCGAUACUGUUGGGCUAGAGGGCAGCAGAGGGAGGUGGAAUUCCCGGUGUAGUGGUGAAAUGCAUAGAUAUCGGGAGGAACACCAGUGGCGAAGGCGGCCUCCUGGGCUGUUGCUGACGCUGAGGCCCGAAAGCGUGGGGAGCAAACAGGAUUAGAUACCCUGGUAGUCCAUGCUAUAAACUAUGGACACUAGGUAUAGGGAGUAUCGACCCUCUCUGUGCCGAAGCUAACGCUUUAAGUGUCCCGCCUGGGAACUACGGCCGCAAGGCUA
This 377-nucleotide ribosomal RNA is filed under the name uncultured bacterium. RNAcentral's name for it is "bacterial SSU rRNA". It matches the Rfam family "Bacterial small subunit ribosomal RNA", at positions 521 to 896 of the family's 1533-position model. The record is from RNAcentral.